AAGCCAUGCAUGUCUCAGUAUAAGUCUUUACACGGCGAAACUGCGAAUGGCUCAUUAAAACAGUUAUAGUUUAUUUGGUGUUCACCGGUUAUAUGGAUAACUGCGGAAAAACUGGAGCUAAUACAUGCGUUAAAGCCCGACUUCACGGAAGGGCUGUAUUUAUUAGAUACAGAACCAAUACCUUCGGGUUUUUGGAUGAUUCAUAAUAAAUGUACGGAGCGCGUCAGCUUGUGCUGGCGCUGUACCAUUCAAGUUUCUGACCUAUCAGCUUCCGACGGUAGGGUAUUGGCCUACCGUGGCAUUGACGGGUAACGGAGAAAUAGGGUUCGAUUCCGGAGAGGGGGCCCGAGAAAUGGCCACCACAUCUACGGAAGGCAGCAGGCGCGCAAAUUACCCAAUCCUGACACAGGGAGGUAGUGACAAGAAGUAACAAAGCGGGUGGCCAAGCCAUUUUGCUAUUGGAAUGAGUAGAAUUUAAAUCUCUUUUCGACUAUCAAUUGGGAGGGCAAGUCUGGUGCCAGCAGCCGCGGUAAUUCCAGCUCCAAUAGCGUAUAUUAAAGUUGUUGCGGUUAAAAAGCUCGUAGUUGGAUUUCUGUCGAAGACUUCUGGUCCAUACCAUGUAUGUGUAUCUAGAAAUGCUUUGGCAUCUUCUCGGUGCCCGUCGCCGCCUUAAUUGUGUGGUACGGUGCCCGAGACUUUUACUUUGAGGAAAUUAGAGUGUUCACGGCAGGCAAUCGUCAUGAAUAUAUUAGCAUGGAAUAAUCAUAUAGGACCUAAGGUUCUUUUUGUUGGUUUCAGAAUUUUAGUAAUGAUUAAUAGGGACNAUUGGGGGCAUUCGUAUUGUCACGUCACGAGUGAAAUUCUUAGAUUGUGAUACGCACGAACUAAUGCAAAGC
Molecule: ribosomal RNA, 896 nt
Filed under: uncultured alveolate
Lineage: Eukaryota
Description: SSU rRNA
Rfam family: Eukaryotic small subunit ribosomal RNA
Source: RNAcentral